GGGGGAAAAAUUAAAAAUUUUAAAUUAAUAAAAAAAAUUUUAAUACGAAAAUGGGGGUUGGAGUAUUAUUAAAAGAAAAAAUUUAAAUUUUUAUAGUAAAUUAGUAUUGUAAAAGAAUUUUGAAAUAAUUGAAAAAUAAUUUAAUAAGAAGUAAAUUUUAUUUAUUGUAUCUUGUGUAUCAGAGUUUAUUAAAUAAAUUUAUUUUUAUAAAUAAAUCUCGAAUUUGAAAGAGAUAAUUAAUUAUAAAAGUUAAUGUGGCAUAAUUAUUUUUAAUAGUUAAUUUGAAAUGAAAUGUUAAUCGUUUUUAAAUAUAUCUAGUUUUUUUAGAAAUAAAUUUAAUUUAAAAUUUAAUUUUAAUAAUAAUUUUUUAAAAAAUUAUUAUUAAAUUAAAUUAAAUAUUAAAAGGGAUAAGCUUUUUAAUAAAAAUUUAUAAUUUAAUAAAAAUUAUUAAAAUUUUUAAAAUUUAAAUUGUUUAAAAAUUAAAAUUUUUUAUAAAAAAUUUUAAUAAAAAUAAAAUUUAAUAAAAUUUUAAAUUUUUAUAAAAAAAAAAUUUUUUUUUUAUAAAAAAAUUAUUAUAAUGAUAAAAUUAGUAUAAAUAUAAAUAUAAAUAUAUUAUUUAUAAAUAUAAAUUAAAUAAAAGGAAUUCGGCAAAAAUUUAUAUUCACUUGUUUAUCAAAAACAUGUCUUUUUGGAAAUAAUUUAAAGUCUAAUCUGCCCACUGAUAAAUAUUAAAGGGCUGCAGUAUAUUGACUGUACAAAGGUAGCAUAAUCAUUAGUCUUUUAAUUGAAGACUUGUAUGAAAGAUUUAAUGAAAUAUAAACUGUCUCUUAUUUAUAAUUAGAAUUUAAUUUUUUAGUUAAAAAGCUAAAAUAAAUUUAAAAGACGAGAAGACCCUAUAGAGUUUUAUAAUUAAUUUAUUUUAGAUUAUAUAUAUAAUUUAAAAUUAAAAAUAAAUUAAUUAUUUUAUUGGGGUGAUAGAAAAAUUAAAUAAACUUUUUUUAAAUAUAGUCAUAAAUAAAUGAUUAAAUGAUCCAUUAAUAAUGAUUAAAAGAAAAAAUUACCUUAGGGAUAACAGCGUAAUUUUUUUUUUUAGUUCAAAUAAAAAAAAGAGAUUGCGACCUCGAUGUUGGAUUAAGAUAAAAUAUAAAUGCAAAAGUUUAAAAUUUUGAUCUGUUCGAUCAUUAAAAUCUUACAUGAUCUGAGUUCAAACCGGUGUGAGCCAGGUUGGUUUCUAUCUUUAAAAAAUUAAAAUAUUUCAGUACGAAAGGAUCAAAUAUUUAAAAUAAUUUUAUUAAAAUGAAUAUUAUUAAUAUUUAUAUAUAUAUAUAUAUAUAUAUAUAUAUAUAA
Molecule: ribosomal RNA, 1347 nt
Filed under: Danaus genutia (orange tiger)
Lineage: Eukaryota; Metazoa; Arthropoda; Insecta; Lepidoptera; Nymphalidae
Description: 16S ribosomal RNA
Source: RNAcentral